AUCGCUUCUUGGCCUUUUGGCUAAGAUCAAGUGAAAAUGUGCUUCCUUUAGGGGAAUAGAAGAAUUUGAAAUUUUGCCUCGAGAAAAAUGAAUAUUUACGUGUAUACUGAUUUAUUUCACAUUUUUAUUAUGUUAAAUUCUUUUCAAAAAGGAUCCAUCUU
This 161-nucleotide small nuclear RNA is filed under the name Chlorocebus sabaeus (green monkey). Its description in RNAcentral is "U2 spliceosomal RNA". It matches the Rfam family "U2 spliceosomal RNA". Rfam says of the family: U2 is a small nuclear RNA (snRNA) component of the spliceosome (involved in pre-mRNA splicing). Complementary binding between U2 snRNA (in an area lying towards the 5' end but 3' to hairpin I) and the branchpoint sequence (BPS) of the intron results the bulging out of an unpaired adenosine, on the BPS, which initiates a nucleophilic attack at the intronic 5' splice site, thus starting the first of two transesterification reactions that mediate splicing. The record is from Rfam by way of RNAcentral. Lineage: Eukaryota; Metazoa; Chordata; Mammalia; Primates; Cercopithecidae.